UACGUAGGGGGCAAGCGUUGUCCGGAUUUAUUGGGCGUAAAGAGCGUGUAGGCGGCCUGAAAGGUCAGCUGUGAAAACUCGAGGCUCAACCUCGAGACGUCGGUUGAAACCGUACGGCUAGAGUCCGGAAGAGGAGAGUGGAAUUCCUGGUGUAGCGGUGAAAUGCGCAGAUAUCAGGAGGAACACCAAUGGCGAAGGCAGCUCGCUGGGACGUGACUGACGCUGAGACGCGAAAGCGUGGGGAGCAAACAGG
This 253-nucleotide ribosomal RNA is filed under the name uncultured bacterium. RNAcentral's name for it is "partial 16S ribosomal RNA". It matches the Rfam family "Bacterial small subunit ribosomal RNA", at positions 524 to 776 of the family's 1533-position model. The record is from RNAcentral.